GACGAACGCUGGCGGCGUGCUUAACACAUGCCAGUCGAACGGAAAGGCCCUGCUUUUGUGGGGUGCUCGAGUGGCGAACGGGUGAGUAACACGUGAGUAACCUGCCCUUGACUUUGGGAUAACUUCAGGAAACUGGGGCUAAUACCGGAUAGGAGCUCCUGCUGCAUGGUGGGGGUUGGAAAGUUUCGGCGGUUGGGGAUGGACUCGCGGCUUAUCAGCUUGUUGGUGGGGUAGUGGCUUACCAAGGCUUUGACGGGUAGCCGGCCUGAGAGGGUGACCGGCCACAUUGGGACUGAGAGAGGGCCCAGACGCCUACGGGAGGCAGCAGUGGAGAAUAUUGCACAAUGGGCGGAAGCCUGAUGCAGCAACGCCGGGUGCGGGAUGACGGCCUUCGGGUUGUAAACCGCUUUCGCCUGUGACGAAGCGUGAGUGACGGUAAUGGGUAAAGAAGCACCGGCUAACUACGUG
This 468-nucleotide ribosomal RNA is filed under the name uncultured bacterium. RNAcentral describes it as "partial 16S ribosomal RNA". It matches the Rfam family "Bacterial small subunit ribosomal RNA", at positions 28 to 507 of the family's 1533-position model. The record is from RNAcentral.